RNAcentral lists this unclassified non-coding RNA (305 nucleotides) under bacterium GI936. RNAcentral's name for it is "partial contains 16S-23S ribosomal RNA intergenic spacer and 23S ribosomal RNA". The stretch from base 43 to 305 matches the Rfam family "Bacterial large subunit ribosomal RNA", at positions 1 to 216 of the family's 2925-position model. The record is from RNAcentral.
AGUCAGCNGGAUUAUUUCCUNGCAUGAGUUUUGCUGAGAAACGAUCAAACGUUGAAGGGCUUCUGACGGAUGCCUUGGCGUAGAGAGGCGAUGAAGGACGUGGCAAGCUGCGAUAAGAACCGGGGAGGCGCUAGCACCCUUUGAUCCGGUUAUUUCCGAAUGGGGGAACCCACCUUUACAGUCUUCCAACUUUGCUCUCCCUCGGGAGGGUACGGAUUGGCGGAUUGUUCAAAGGUAUAAUGACCUGAAUACAUAGGGUUCAUUAAGCAAACCCGGGGAACUGAAACACUCUAAGUCCCAAGGGC